UCCUUAGGCGGGCUAAUAAGUCAGGGGUGAAAUCCCACAGCUUAACUGUGGAACUGCCUUUGAUACUGUUAGUCUUGAGUUAUAUGGAAGUAGAUAGAAUGUGUAGUGUAGCGGUGAAAUGCAUAGAUAUUACACAGAAUACCGAUUGCGAAGGCAGUCUACUACGUAUAUACUGACGCUAAUGGACGAAAGCGUGGGGAGCGAACAGGAUUAGAUACCCUGGUAGUCC
RNAcentral lists this ribosomal RNA (229 nucleotides) under uncultured bacterium. RNAcentral's name for it is "partial 16S ribosomal RNA". It matches the Rfam family "Bacterial small subunit ribosomal RNA", at positions 568 to 796 of the family's 1533-position model. The record is from RNAcentral.